This is an RNA transcript of Solea solea (common sole), 3803 nucleotides long. It is a transcript of the gene named telomerase reverse transcriptase, with no coding region annotated. Lineage: Eukaryota; Metazoa; Chordata; Actinopteri; Pleuronectiformes; Soleidae. The transcript has 18 exons. The record is from RefSeq and is a predicted model, not a curated record.
UGAAGUGAAGCUCGUCAACAUGUCCUCCUCCUUCACGGUGUGAACGUUUCUCAGUCUGACAUGUUUCUGAGUGUUUAAUAAAACCGUUAGAAUGUCGACGGCGGACAUGUCCGCCGUGCUGGGCAUUCUCCGCUCACUGUACCAACACACGCAGACGCUGGAGGAGUUCGCGGACAGCGUCGUGUUCAGAGAGGGACAGCGGGCUGUACUGCUCCAACAGUCGGACACAAACCGCUUCAAAUCGUUUGUACGAGCUGUUUUCGUCUGCUUCGACAGGGAACUACAGCAAAUACCGAGCUGCAGCCAGAUCUGCACUCUACCUGAGCUUCUGGCCUUUGUUCUUAACAAUCUCAAAAGGAAACGAAAAAGAAACGUCUUGGCACAUGGCUACAAUUUUCUGUCCUUGGCUCAGGAAGAGCGGGAUGCAGACCACUUCAAGUUCCAAGGCGAUAUAACUCAAAGUGCUGCUUACAUCCAUGGCAGCGAUUUGUGGAAGAAAGUCACAGCACGCCUUGGCACAGACAUCACACGGUACCUGUUGGAGAGCUGCUCUGUGUUUGUGGCAGUCCCUCCAUCAUGUGUUUUUCAGGUUAGCGGUGUUCCUGUGUAUGACAGGGUGUCCGUGGCUAAUGCCUCCGCCGGGUUUUAUCUACAUCCUCGCAGUAGGGCACAUGACAGUACUCGAUUUGGAAGGUAUCAAUGGUCAAUGACCUUGAGAAGAAUGCAUGUAAUUCAGAAUCCUAAAGUCAGUAAGAGGAGGAAUAGAAUGAAUGAACAUUUGAAAAGAAGAAAAAGAAAGAGAGAAACUGAUCAAAAUGAAGAGGAGAAGGGUCAGUAUUGUAAAGGAAAGAGAAGACGCGUCGGACGGCAAGAACCCACACAGGACAUCAAACAGGUUUGCUCUGAGACAGUGGAGGGAGGGCCCUCUAUGGCGGUGGAACAAACACAGACUGUGAAGCCUGCGGAGCAAACACAGUCUGUGAAGCCUGUGGAAAAUGGUACUGGUUCUAAACAGGUUGCUGCAACUACACUUCCCUCGGAGGGAGGCCCCAGUUGGAGAUCAGGUAUUUUCCCCCCUAUACCUCCUUCACAGUGUUUCAUUCGCACUUUGGGAUUCAUGUACAGUGGAAGGGGAAUGCGUUGCUUCCUACUCAACAGGAAAAAGAAGAGUGUUGUUGGACCCAAGAGGCUACAAGGGCAAGAUUUAGUAAGAAUAGUCUUCUUUGAGGGAAUGGCUUAUCUAAAUGGGCGCGAAAGGAAGCCAAAGAAACUCCCAAGACGCUUUUUCAAAAUGGUCCCCCUCUUCCGUCAGUUGUUAUGUCAACACAGGAGAUGUCCUUACAGCAGAAUACUGCAGAGCAUGUGUCCACUGGUGAAGGGGAGCGAUCCAGAACAGGGAGAGUUAAUCUCCCUCUUGCAUCAACACUGUGCACCUCACCGCGUCUACCUUUUUGUCAGGGAAUGCCUCUCUGCUGUGAUCCCACAUGAGCUGUGGGGCUCCGACCACAACCGUGUGAUUUUCUUUGCGAGGGUCAGGGUCUUCCUGUGCAGCGGCAAGUCCGAGAAGCUCUCACUGGCUGAACUGCUGUGGAAGAUGAAGGUGAAUGACUGUGACUGGUUGAAGAUCAGUAAGACAGGCAGGUUCCCACCCAGUGAGCUCUCAUACCGGACCCAGAUCCUGGGUCAGUUCCUGGCUUGGCUAGUGGAUGGCUACAUUGUAAGCCUUGUCCGAGCCUGCUUCUAUGUCACUGAGUGUGUGGGUCAGAAGAAUGCCCUGAGGUUCUACAGACAUGAAAUUUGGGCUAAACUGCAGGAUUUGGCCUUCAGAGGUCACCUUUCCAAGGGUCAGAUGGAGGAGUUGACUCCCGCACAAGUGGCAUCCCUUCCCAAAACCACUGUCAUCUCCCGCCUGCGCUUCAUUCCCAAGUCUGAUGGCAUGAGACCUAUCACAAGAGUCAUAGGAGCAGAUCCCAAAACAAGGCUUUACCAAGGGCGUGUUCGGGACUUGCUGGAUAUGCUGCGAGCUUGUGUGUGUUCCUCUCCUUCUCUCCUGGGCUCCACUGUGUGGGGCAUGACAGAUAUCCACAAUGUGUUGCGCUCUUUGGCUCCAGCCCAAAAGGACAAGCCAAGCCCUCUCUACUUUGUUAAGGUGGAUGUAAGUGGAGCCUAUGAGAGUCUGCCUCAUGACAAACUCAUUGAAGUGGUUGGUCAGGCCCUGUCACCCGUCCAGGAAGAACUCUUUACCAUCCGCCGCUUUGCCAAGAUCUGGUCUGAUUCCCAUGAAGGCCUGAAAAGGGCCUUUGUUAGACAGGCAGAUUUACUGGAGGACAACAUGGGAUCCACCAACAUGAAGGGGUUUGUGAUGUCACUGCAGAAAAAAGGCAAAGUUCAUCAUGCCAUACUGGUAGAGCAGCAUUUCUGUUCAGACCUUCACGGGAAAGACGCUUCACAGUUUUUCACUCAGAUGCUAACUGGCAGUAUUGUUCAGUUUGGAAAAAAAACGUACCGUCAGUGCAGAGGAAUUCCCCAAGGAUCAGUUGUGUCCAGUCUGCUCUGCUGUCUCUGCUAUGGUCACAUGGAGAAUGUGCUGUUCAAAGAUAUCAUUAAAAACAAAAGGUGUCUGAUGAGACUGGUGGAUGACUUCCUUCUGAUCACCCCAGACUUCCAAGAAGCACAAAACUUCCUUGAGGUCUUACUGGCUGGGGUACCACAGUAUGGCUUGGUAGUCAACCCACAGAAGGUGGUGCUCAACUUCCAACUGUCGGGAAAUGUGAGUUCCUGUCCAAACAUUCGCGUUCUGCCCCUCCACUGCCUUUUCCCCUGGUGUGGACUGCUCCUUGACACGCACACGCUAGAUGUCUACAAAGACUAUUCCAGCUAUGCAGGUCUGUCUCUGCGCUACAGCCUCACUUUGGGCUCUUUCCACUCAGCUGGACAGCAAAUGAAGAGGAAAAUGAUGGCUGUCCUCAGACUCAAAUGCCACACCCUCUUUUUGGACUUAAAGACCAAUUGCAUUGAGGCAGUCUACAAGAACAUCUACAAGCUGGUGUUGCUCCAAGCACGCAGGUUCCAUGUCUGUGCCCAGAGUUUGCCCUUUGCUCAGACAGUUGCUAAGAACCCUGACUACUUCCUGCAGAUGAUAUGGGACAUGGCAGAGUACGCCAAUCAUCUCAUCAGACUCUGCAACAAAGGAUUGAUUUUAGGCAGCAAAGCUCAGACGGGCAUUGUGCAGUAUGAAGCAGUGGAGCUUAUUUUCUGUCUUUCCUUCUCGCUUGUGCUGGCGCCACACCGUCCCCUGUAUAAGGAUCUGCUCCCACAUUUGCACAAACGGAAGCGCAGUCUGGAGCGGCGUCUGGGGGAUCUGAGGUUGGCCAGAGUCCGACAGGCCACUAACCCAAAGACUCCGGUGGAUUUCUUGGCCAUCCAGAUGUAGACUACCAGCAUGCCACAUUUAUAGCUCCCAGCAACCUUGAAACCCUCGGCAUCUAAAAGAAAACUAUGACCCAGCUGGAUGAGAAUCCACAAAGACAUAGGAGAAACAAUGUUACAGCGCCUGCAAUGGAAACAAGUCACCACACUCACAUCAGGAGAAAAGAGGUACGACAGUCCAUCAGUUGCUCCGGGCAGAGUGAGGGCACGAAUCAGGAAGAUGGUUAGUACCAGGUAAACCUUCCUUUCCUAUGGACUUGAUGCCUCUGAUGAAACAGAUGUAGAUCACGAACCAGGCACUGGCCAGACACACGACUAUCGACCACUGUAUAGAGCCAUUCGUCUCAAUAUUAGGCGUGAUGUUCAGUGUCUCA